Molecule: ribosomal RNA, 19 nt
Filed under: Epichloe uncinata
Lineage: Eukaryota; Fungi; Ascomycota; Sordariomycetes; Hypocreales; Clavicipitaceae
Also listed under: 1 other name
Description: partial large subunit ribosomal RNA
Source: RNAcentral
GACCUCGAAUCAGGUAGGA